UUCGUAAUUUUAAUUAUUUCCAAAGGUUGUUUUAGGAAAUAUUUUAAAUUUAAUAUUGUAAAUAUUGUAGUUACAGACAAAUGGCUUUAUAAGCCAAUUUUUAUUAAAAAUAGCAACUACCAUAGUAUAGAAACCGUUUCAAAAUUUCCACGACAACUUCCACCAACCAUCCGACACAAGGUCGAGUACAACCUCCAUCCUCCGUGGUGCUCUGUUCUUCUCUAGCUGUAUCAAGCAUCCAGUCAGACUGCUUAACAACAAUCUUCUGUUUCGGACUCAGUCUUGAUUUCAGAGGUUUAUCCUCGCCGUGCGCGUCUCUAGGUAUCUGGGAUCUGUCGAUCGUCGGACCGGAGACUCUCUUCAUCUCAGGUGAUUUGAUUCUGAAUUCUUGUACAAUUCCUAAGAAUUGUAGCACUUGUGCUUUCAAUUUUCUCGAACUCGUUUAAUUGCAGAAAUUAAUGGCUUCUAAUAUGGAGUUAACUGCAAAUCCUGAUUUCAAAAGACUUCAAGCAUUACAAAUGGAGCAAACUAAAGAAAUGAAUGAAUUUUGUAUCGUUAUGACAAAUACAAUACAAUGGAUUUCAAAUCAAAUAAUGAAUAUGGGAAAAGAAACAAAAAUUCCAGAACCACCAGAUGGGGAACAAAACAAGCAAAACAGAGAAUUUGGUGAUCAAAGCUACCUAUCUUUAGUGGAUCUCGACAACCCCAUAUAUGCAGUUAGCAUACUGAAUGAUGACAAUUACAAUCCAGCAAAGAAUAUUAAAGUAGACUUGCCAAGAUUUGAGGGCAAAAAUGUCGAAGAUUGGCUAUUUCAAGUAAGAAGAUUUUUUUAUAUAUAAUAAGACUUCGGAAGAACAAAAAUUAUUAAUGGUUUCAUUCCAUAUGGAUGGAAUAGCGAGAAAAUGGUUUUCUUGGAUAGAGGCUAGCAACUUCCUCAGUGAUUGGAAAAAAUUUGUAAAAGAUGUAUGUAAAAAAUUCAGCAAAGGUAAUUAUACUCUCCCCGGAGGCAAACUAAGCAAAUUAAUGCAAGUGGGCUCUGUUGCUGAAUAUCAAACAGAGUUUGAAGAAAGGUGCACAAUGUUUAGGCCUACCAGAUUACUUUAUACUGGAAAUGUUCAUUUCUGGCCUCAGAAAUGACAUUCAAAAAGAGGUGGUAAAAUUCAAGCCAAAUGACAUACAAGAAGCAUUUGACAUGGCAGCCUUAGUAGAAGGAAAGAAAGUAGGAAGUGGAUCAAAUUGGAUCCCCAAAACAGCAAGAAGUACCUAGAAAUAACAACAAAAAGAGCUGACAAAUCCAGCAACAACUGAAAAAAUUCAGUAUGCAAAAGGAGGUCAAGAACAACCCUAUACCAAACCAGUCUUUAAAAGACUAUCACCUGAAGAAAGAACAGCAAAAGGACUUUGUUUUAACUGUGAGGACAUGUUCAUACCAGGGCAUAAAUGCAAAGGUAAAAUGUUUAUGUUAUCUGCAGAUGAAUCAUAUUUGCUAGAAAUGGAAGAACAAAAAGAAGUUAUGAAUAUGGAGGAAGAAAAUGUUGAAAUACCCAUCAUAAGAAAUAAUGAAGCUCCUACUGGUAUUAGCAUGCAUGCAUUCGAAGGACAAAUGAAUCCAAGCACAAUCAGGCUGGAAGGAUUCAUAAAAAUGCAAUCAGUGAGUAUUUUAGUUGAUUCGGGCUCCACACAUAAUUUUAUACAAUUAGCUGUAGCAUCUGCCUUAAAAUUAACUAUAUAUGCUACUAGACCAUUUAAAGUAGCCACAGAAAGUGGAGAAAAUCUCACUUGUGACAAAUUGUGCAAGGAUGUAGAAAUUAAAAUACAAGGUGUGGUAGUGACAUUGGAUGUAUUUUUAAUACCAAUGGCUGGAUCUAAUCUAGUAAUUGGAUUACAGUGGCUGAAAAAGUUGGGGUAUAUUGUCUCAAAUUAUGAAAAAUUAACAAUGAAGUUCAAAUGGGCAGGAAAAGAGGUAACUUGGCAAGGUAUAUCUUGGAUAUUUGAUGACCCAUUAACAGUGGGAGAACUGAAAAGUCUAUGUCAGGUAACCAUAGAGGCUUAUUUAUGUUAUUAUGAAGCUUCUUCAAAUAAUGAAUCCAGCAAGGUUCUGAGCAAAAAAAAUUCAGAAAUUCACGAAAUACUAAACGAAUUUUCAGAUAUAUUCUCUGAUCCUAAAGGUCUGCCUCCACAAAGAGAGAGAGAUCAUCUGAUACAUUUAAUACCAGGAGCUAAGCCAGUGAAUGUGAGACCUUAUAGGUACCCACAAUUUCAAAAAAAUGGAAUAGAGAAGCUAAUUUCAGAGAUGCUAGAUAAAGGCACCAUCAAACCAAGCCUAAGUCCAUAUUCUUCUCCAGUAUUACUCAUAAAGAAAAAAGAUAGUGGUUACAGAAUAUGUGUAGAUUAUAGAGCACUCAAUGCUCUAACUAUCAAAGAUAAAUUCCCCAUCCCAACGGUGGAUGAAUUGUUGGGGGAAAUGAAAGGAUCUACAAUAUUUUCUAAGCUAGAUCUGAGAUCAGGUUUUCACCAGAUCAGAGUUUGCCCAUCAGAUACUCACAAAACAAUAUUCAGAACACAUGAAGGCCAUUUUGAAUUUAUGGUUAUGCCAUUUGGGCUAACUAAUGCACCAACCACUUUUCAGACAGUUAUGAACUCUGUUUUUUUUUUAAAUAUUGAGAAAAUUCGUAAUAAUAUUUUUUGAUGAUAUAUUGAUCUACAUCCUUCACUUGAAGAACAUAUAACACAUUUGGGCAGAGUAUUUGAGAUACUCAGAAACAAUCAGCUAUUGGCAAAACUAUCUAAGUGCUCAUUUGGGAAAUCAUCCAUUGGCUUCCUAGGACACAUAAUUUCAGAAAAAGGAGUUCACCCUGAUCCAGAUAAAGUAAGUGCAAUGACAGAAUGGACGGUACCCAAAACCAUCAAACAACUCAGAGGUUUUUUGGGUCUAACUGGUUAUUAUAUAAGGUUCAUAAAGAAUUAUACUCAGAUUGCUGCACUUAUGACAAACCUAUUGAAGAAGGACAGUUUUAAGUGAUCUGAAGAUAGUAAAACUAGUUUUGAGACUUUGAAGGCAGCUAUGAUAAAGGCUCCUUUUUUAGCAUUUCCAGAUUUUGAAAAAUUAUUCAUAUUAGAGACCGAUGCUUGUAACAGUGGGGUGGGGGCAGUACUUAUAUAGGAAUACCAUCCUAUUUCAUUUUAUAGCUGCAAAAUAUCUGGAGAAAUUGCAGGUGCUUCAAUCUACAUAAAAGAAAUGUUUGCCAUAACACAGUCAGUCCAUAAAUGGAGACAUUAUUUGCUUGGUGCUCCCUUUACUAUAAGAACUGAUCACAGAAGUUUAAAAAAUUUAUUGACACAGGUCAUUCAGACCCCAGAGCAACAGGUAUUCUUAUGUAAAUUAUUGAGUUUUGAUUUUCAGAUCGUAUACAAACCAGGGAAAUCAAAUGUGGUGGCUGAUGCUUUAUCUAUAUCAUUUGAAGGAGAAGAAGAAGAAGAAAUUAUUUAUUCUCACUCAUCCAAGGGAAAUCCAUGCUCAUUUUUAGCUCUCUCAACUCCUAUAUAUAAUUUGAUAGAUGUAAUCAGAAAAGAAAACAAGGAAAAUAAGCCCUGAGAGAAUUGAUGGAAGAAAUCAGCAAACACCCUAAUUCCAAGGUUGGUUUCACAGUGCAAGGAGAAAUUAUUAAAUUCAUAGGAAGAAUAUAUAUAUCAAAAAAUUCUAUUUUAAGGGAGGAAAUUAUGAAAGAAUACCAUUCAACAGUAACUGGAGGGCACUCUGGGAUCAAGGCAACUACCAAAAGAAUUAAUCUACAAUUUUGGUAGGAAGGUAUGUCUAAAGAUAUUAGAGAAUUUGUGUUAAAUUACAAAAUAUGUCAACAGAUGAAGCCCAUAAACCAAAAGAAGGAGGGUUUACUCAUGCCAUUACCCAUACCUAAUAUGGUUUGGAAGAAUGUAACAAUGGACUUCAUCAUCGAGCUACCACAAGUAGAAGGAAAAAUAAUCAUCAUGGUAGUGGUGGAUAGAUUAUCAAAAUAUGCAUACUUUGAAGCUUUACCCACAAAUUUUAAUGCAAGUAUGGUAUCUGAAUUAUUUACAUCAAUGGUCAUCAAAUUACACGGAAUACCAAGUUCCAUUGUCUCAGAUAGGGACAAGAUAUUCACUUCCAAAUUUUGGAAGGAAUUGCAUAACAAGAGUGGGACCAAACUACAUUACUCUACUGCCUAUCACCCGAAAAGUAAUGGCCAAACAAAAGUGGUCAACAGAGGUUUGGAAAUGUAUCUAAGAUGUUUUUGUCAUGAUGAUCCAAAAAAAUGGUUGAGCUUACUAUCAUGGGCUGAAUUAUGGUAUAACACCAAUUAUCAUUCAUCUAUCAAAACAACACCUUUUAAUGUGUUAUAUGGGAGAGAUCCACCAGGAAUUGCACAAUACACUCCCAGGGAUUCAAGCAUAGAUGCGGUAGAUGCAAGUAUGCAAGUAAGGGAAGAAGUUCUGAAUCACAUCAAAGCUAAUCUAAAGAAGUGCCAAGAAAUUAUGAAACUAAAGGCAGAUACAAAAAGAAAAGAUAUUGAGUUUAAUUUGGGCGAUUGGACAUGGAUUAAAUUAAAACCUUAUAAGCAGAGAGCACUAUGGCAUAUAGAUUGAAUCAUAAAUUAAGUAAAAGGUAUUUCAGACCUUACAAAAUUACACAGUGGAGUUACCCCAAGGCAGCAAGAUCCAUAACACAUUCCACAUAUCAAAAUUAAAGCCUUAUAGAGGAGAAAUACCACCACAUAAAGAAGUAAAACCAAUCCUAUCUAUCAACAAUCAACCAAUAGUCUAUCUGGUGGCAUUAAUUGACGCAAGAAAAAUAUACCGGAAUGGGAAGAUGACGGACCAGGUAUUGGUGCACUGGAAUGAUUCACAGCCGGAAGAUGCAUCUUGGGAGGAUUUCCUGCAGCUAGCAACUUUGUUCCCAUCCAUCACCAAUGAGGGCAUGGCGAUUUUCAAAAAGGGGAGAGAUGAUACAACUCGGCCGGCUACUAGAGAGAUUGCAAGGGAGGUAGCACGGGACUUGCUGGAGAUUCAAGAUCGAGAGAGUGAAGAGGUAAUCGGGCGUCCGAAAAGAUUGGCUAGGGCUCUGAGACGUUGGGACAAUUAUGUUACCCCAUUUGGGCGUAACUAAAGGGGACCAAUUUCAAUAUUUAAUUCAAGGACCAAUUUCGUAAUUUUAAUUAUUUCCAAAGGCUGUUUUAGAAAAUAUUUUAAAUUUAAUAUUGUAAAUAUUGUAGAUACAGACAGAUGGAUUUAUAAGCCAAUUUUUAUUAAAAAUAGCAACUACCAAAGUAUAGAAACCGUUUCAAAAUUUCCACGACAACUUCCACCAACCAUCCGACACAAGGUCGAGUACAACCUCCAUCCUCCGCCGUGCUCUGUUUUUCUCCAGCCGUAUCAAGCAUCCGGUCAGACUGCUUAACAACAAUCUUCUGUUUCGGACUCGGUCUUGAUUUCAGAGGUUUAUCCUCGCCGUACGCGUCUCUAGGUAUCUGGGAUCUGUCGAUCGUCGGACCGGAGACUCUCUUCAUCUCAGGUGAAGUGAUUUUGAAUUCUUCUAUAAUUUCUAAGAAAUGUAUCAGGAACUCUCAGUGCUAGGACUAUUUAUUUCUUAACCUGGGCUGUCAAGCAAUUUCUCCAAAUUAUUAUUAUUAUGACUUGGGCUUGGACUGAAAUUAUGUUGACCCCCACUCGAAAUAGAAAUAUCUGAAUUAACUUCGGUUGGGCCUGAUUUAAUAGUGAUCGAGCUUGAAAUUAAUUCUGGACUCCCAAUAAUAGCCGGGCCUGAAAUAUUAGUUUAUGGACAAAUAUCAUAAUCAUCCAUGUCCAAACAUUUAUUUAGAGAAAAAUCGUUUUCCUCAAACCUUACAUCUCUUGAGAUAUAUAACUUCCCAAUAACCGGAUCUAAACAGAUAUACCCUUCAUAAUUUACUGGAUACCCCAAGAAAAUGCACGGUGUAGAUUUCGGAUCCAACUUUGAAGACCUAACAUUUGCACCCGAACAACUUUAAGAUACCAUAACCUGGUUUCCUUCUGGUGAGACAUGCCUGAUCACGUCAGUCACUCCCAGCAACGCCCUUCGACAAGGACUAGGGUUCCGUCGCUUUAUGCCGGACCCCCGGAGAGUUCCACAAAUGCGGAGGAAGUGUCUACGUCAAGUACUCAAGGAAACACCUGGGAAUCGCCGAUUGGGACUACCAAGUCGCCGAUUCCAGGGGUGAAUCGCCGACUCUAGGCCUCGUGGUCAGUUCUGGUAGACUGCCAACUUGGCUCAUGGGGAGUCGGCGACUCCACCUCUGAAUCGGCGACUCCCAUACCUGAGUCGCCGAUUCCCAGCCGUUACUUGGGUGGGCCCACGUCAUUAAGGCACUCCUUAAUAGGAUACCUUAAUGGGGUGGGUCCCACGCUAAUGACUUGAGGGUAGAGGUCUCCCAAGGACCCCUUUUAUCACAAGCUAAAAAAAAAAAAAAAGUAUGGGGCUUUUUACCUUUUUUCACUACCAGUGAUACUGUCGGUCCAUUUCCGGAAUACCCAGAUCUAAUUUUGGGAUUCUACGACCACACAUCACGUGAAAAAAGUUUUCUCUACGAGUACAAUAAGGCAGAAUUUCCCAACAGUGCAAGGAAUCUUUUCUGGGUUAGGUCUAAACAGGCAUCCCGAAAACGACCUCCGGCGGCACGAUUUUCUGCUGAAAAAUUGCAAAAAAUUUGCGAUAUUUUUUGCUAAUUUCAAUCUUUGGGGACUAGUAGUACUGCUCAAGGGGGUCACAAAACUACAAAGAAAUAUUAUACGGAAUUUUUUUCUGUUUUGUGACACCCGGGGGGCAGGUACCUACCCAUAGCUUCCGACACUUCGGAAGAACUUCCACUCGUAGUCUGUUGCUUCGACCCAAUAGAAGCAACCAUCCCAUUUAUGGCUUUUUUUACUAAGGAUCAUAAAAAGAAAGCUCUUGCCAUUGCUACUGAGGUAGGAGUUUCUGGUAGGAGGGUUGGUUCCCGUACUAUACCAACCUCCAAUAUACCACUUUCGACACAUGAGGUGCCCUCAUCACUACCAUCAAAUGGGGGAGUGAACCUAACUCCUGCGCUACAAGAGAGGUUGAUUAACUUUAUGGAUUCUAUGGAAAAAAGAGUUAGAAACCUCGAGAAAGCAAGGGGCAAGAAGGCCAUCACCCGUGAAAGAGCGGGUGAAUCUGGGUCUUACUAUCUUCCGUCUACGGAGAAAAAGAGGAAAUCUCCAGCACCUCCUAAGGAAAAAGCUGGACCUAGCAAGAGUCGCACUCACAGGACUCUUAGAACAAAGUUCGUGGAAGAUCUUCGUCGGAAGCUGGCCGACAAUCCGGUCGCUAGCAGUCCGAUCGAGUUCUUGAGAAUCAAAAGCGCUCCUUUUCACAAGGACCUUUUGAAUGAAUCUUUUCCACCAACCUGGCGGGUACCCAAGAUAGAAGCGUAUGACGGUUCGAGUGAUCCGAAAGAUCACAUCNNNNNNNNNNNNNNNNNNNNNNNNNNNNNNNNNNNNNNNNNNNNNNNNNNNNNNNNNNNNNNNNNNNNNNNNNNNNNNNNNNNNNNNNNNNNNNNNNNNNNNNNNNNNNNNNNNNNNNNNNNNNNNNNNNNNNNNNNNNNNNNNNNNNNNNNNNNNNNNNNNNNNNNNNNNNNNNNNNNNNNNNNNNNNNNNNNNNNNNNNNNNNNNNNNNNNNNNNNNNNNNNNNNNNNNNNNNNNNNNNNNNNNNNNNNNNNNNNNNNNNNNNNNNNNNNNNNNNNNGACCUAAUCCCGAGUCUGGCCAUAGCGGGGUACAUGAAUGGGCUAGUGCCCUACUCCCCUUUGGCCCAGAACCUUACGCUCCAUAAAGUGGAGACCCUCCCCGACCUCUUCCAACGAGCUCAAUCGUUCAUUGAGAUAGAAGAGGAGAACAAUAAUAAGCUGGACGGAGUCGAGCCGCCCAGCCGGAAAAAAACCUCGCUAUGAAGAUACAUACGAGGAUACAAGUUCCCAGUCUGAAAUCUCGACUAGUCCUCCUCGGUACAGAGAGGAGCUUCUCAUCAACAGUUAUGACCACCAAAGGCAUCAUUCAUACUCUCAGUCUGGUAACAGUUAUGGCCACGAAAGCCAUAGUUCACACUCUCGGCCCAGUAACAGUUAUGACCAUAGCCCACGCUCUCAAUCCUAUGACAGUGAUGGCAACUAGAGCCACAGUUCACACUCGCAAUCAAAUGCAUCACAUUAGUAGUGAGGAACUNNNNNNNNNNNNNNNNNNNNNNNNNNNNNNNNNNNNNNNNNNNNNNNNNNNNNNNNNNNNNNNNNNNNNNNNNNNNNNNNNNNNNNNNNNNNNNNNNNNNUUAAGAGAUAGGAUUGGCCAGAGUAACCAUGCAGGCUAUGCUUCUGUCAGUGGCAACCAGCGACCAAAACAUGUCGAUUGUUUUAUUUGUCGCUCAUGCUAUUCUCAUGUAUUCUUAAUAGCGAUAUUAUUCUAAAUAAAUCUCUCUUUAAUCCAUAGAGAUAUAUGCAGUAUCGUGUUUAGAAUAAUCAUCCAUCGCUUCAGACGGAUCAAUCAUCCAUCGCUCCGGCUAGAUGACAUCCGUCUCUUCAACCUCAUUUAUCAUCCAUCGCUUUGGCUGGAUGAUACACGUUGCUCAGACCUAGCUUACGACCCGCGAGUCUAAGCGAUGGUUACAAAAUCCAAUUUACGUCCAAAGUGACUAAAUUGCGAUUACAAGUCUAGUUUACGAUUUAUGAGUCCAAAUUGCGACUAAGAAUCUAAAUCGGAUUCUCAUUUACGAAUCUAGCCUCGAUAUUCUAAAUUUUCGACUACAAUCAACGAUACCCUCGUUUUCAAUCUAUUUUAUCGCUAUGGUCUUAAUAGACCAAGGAUCAUUUUGUCGCCUUCGCCUUAAUGAUCCUAUCCCAUCUUGUCGCUAUGGCCUUGAUAAGGAUCGAGAGUCACUCUGUCGCUAUGGUCGGAGCUUGACUAAUACACCAGGGUUCAAGUCUAGAAUUGUAGUCCUAAAUUGUAGUUCUUAGUCUCUAUGCUAGUACAAGUUACAAAAUAGAAUAGUUAGAUUUUAUUUUUGUGACACUCUUUCGAAAUCACUACCUACGACUCUAACUAGUACCCUACAUUAGAAAUCUAUUUUGUCGCUUUGGCCUUAAUAGAUCAAGGUCCAUUUUGUCGCUUUGGCCUUAAUGGACCAAGAAUUAUUUUGUCGCUUUGGCCUCAAUAAUUCUUCUAUCUUGUCGUUUUGGCCUUGAUAGACUUGGAGAUCAUUUUGUCGCUUUGGCCUUAAUGAUCUCAUCCCAUCUUGUCGCUUUGGCCUUGAUGCUGAUCCAAAAGUUACUCUGUCGCUUCGGCCAGAGUUUAACUACAUUAGGGUAUAAGUGUAGAGUCUUAGGUAGUUGAUAAUUACAAAUGAACCUAACGCCAAGAGGUUCUAAGUACCCACAAUACAAAAAUCUUUUUUGUCGCUAUGGCCGUAAUAGAUUUAAAUCGUUUUGUCGCUAUGGCCUUAACGAUCCUACCCCAUCUUGUCGCUUUGGCCUUGAUGCGGGUCCAAAAGUUACUCUGUCACUUCGGCCAGAGCUCAACUACACAUUAAGGAAUGAAAUCUAGAAUCUUAGGUUCUCAAAAAAGUUCUAAGCCCUAUUCCCGACAAUUUUUGUAUCUCCAACUUAUUACGUCAAUUAACUUUGCGAGUCUUAAGUUAGUUGUGAAGUUUAAUUUAUUUCACGAAUUUAGCCGUAGACUGAGCUACGAUUCGUACGACCAAGUCUACGCCCAGAGUGGCUAGCAAUAGGGUUACCAGAGUCUAAUUUACGUUCAGAGUGGCUAAAUUACGACUUGUGAAUCUAGUUUCGGGUCUUAGUUACAAUUCAAAAAAUAAAUUAAAUAAACAAUUAAGAAAGCAAAAUAAUUGGUUAAAAUAAGUUCCAAAAAAUUGUGUAUGACCAAAGCACAAUCUUCGGGGGGAGUAUCACAAGCUCUCCCGGCACUUCUGUCGCUUCGGCCAGAAGUCGUCAAAAUCCGAGGGGGAGUAUCACAAGCUCUCCCGGCACUUCUGUCGCUUCGGCCAGAAGUCGUCAAAAUCCGAGGGGGAGUAUCACAAGCUCUCCCGGCACUUCUGUCGCUUUGGCCAGAAGUCGUCAAAAUUCGAGGGGGAGUCGCCGACUCCAGCACACGAGUCGCCGAUUCAGUGACAGGAAUCGGCGAGGCAUGGCCAGCAGUCGCCGACCCAAUGGCAGCUAAGCCCUGCCCCCUUCGCUUGAAGGAUUUCCCUUUAACAGGGCCUGCAUGAGUCGCCGACUCCACAAUGGGAGUCGCCGACACAGAGGCCACGGGAAUUUCCCCCAGCUCAAGAGGCUCCCGUACGACUACAAGGGCCCUACACGGAGUCGCCGACUCCACAAGGGGAGUCGCCGACACUGGCGGGGCGCCCAGUAGUUCGUGCACGGUGGCACUCAGCUCCAUUCCAUGAGGUGGCACGACCGAAAUCGCCGACUCAACCUCUCUGUCAGGAGAGGGAAUCGGCGAUUCAACGGUGUUCAACACCUCAUCAAGGUUAUCAACAAUCAGAUCAGCUAUGAAAGCUGACGUUUCGUUUUCUUUCAAAGAAGACAAAGGGGAAUCGGGGUAGACAUUGGGUGAAUCGGCGAUUAGAAGUUUUAGAACUAUAGAAUCGGCGAUUCAAAGGUCUGGAGGUUUGGGCGAUCAAGAGAGGCAAAAGAGUGUUGUGAGGGUUUGGGGAAAACCUCUCCACUAUUUAUAGCCCUUGGGAAAAUUGCAAAAACCCCCCAGAAAACCCAAAAUUUACGAAUUCUGAGAUCAAGAUUCGAUCUCCAAAUCCCCCAAAUCACGCCAAGUCGCCAACUCCACAGGGCAGUCGCCGACUCCGGGCAAAAACUCACAGCACUGUGAGAAACAUUUUCUUAUUUGGAGAUUUUACAAAUAUUCCCCGUAUAUCUUCCAAAUAUCCCAAGGAUCUCCCAAAAAGAUCCGACGGUUACACUAGGAGUCGCCGACUGGCAAGAGUAUCACAAACUCCAGUCGCCGAUUCCGGGUAAAAUAACACUAAAAACUGCCCCAAGUGCAAGUUUUCAGGGGGGAGUAUCACAAACUCUCCCGGCACUUCUGUCGCUUCGGCCAGAAGUCGUCAAAUUUCAGGGGGGAGUAUCACAAACUCCCCCGACACUUCUGUCGCUUUGGCCAGAAGUUGUCAAAUUUCAAGGGAAGAGUAUUANNNNNNNNNNNNNNNNNNNNNNNNNNNNNNNNNNNNNNNNNNNNNNNNNNNNNNNNNNNNNNNNNNNNNNNNNNNNNNNNNNNNNNNNNNNNNNNNNNNNCUCCAGCCUGGCGGGUACUCCUCGUCCAGCAGGUGCUGCGCUAGGGCCUCUCCACUGCCCCCUCCCGGCGUCGUUGCCACAAUGGUUCGCGGGGCCUCCACGGGUGGGGCGUCGCUCCCGGGUCUCCCGUCCGGGGGGGCGGGCGGCCCGUACAUGGGAUCCCCUCCUCCGCCCCCGUCCGACUCCAGGGUGUGUGGGUCAUCGUAAGCUGGUGCACCUGCUCUUGUAGCUGACGCUGGCUCUCCUGUAGGGUGGAUAUCAGUUCUACGAGCUGCAUCCUCUCUCGCUUGCUCUCUUUUUCCGCGCGCUCUUUCUCCUCCACGCGCUCCCUUCGCCGGAGCCUCUCGUGCUCCUUUUCCCUUCUCUCCCGGGACCGCGACCGGGACCGCGUUCUCCUGACCUUGGGUGGGGAUGCCGGUUCUUUGCGCCGGCGCCUUUUGGGUGACUCCCAUCCGUACUUGAUCUCCUCGAGCUCCAUGCGCAGCCUAUCCUCCUCGCCGUCCCAUUCCUCGUUGGCCCUUACCUCCUCCGAAUACCGGUCGCGGGAGUGGUGUCGCGCCGGCUGGUACUCCUCCGCUGCCCGCUCGGGUCGCUUUGAGCACUCCCCUACUUGGUAUUCGCUCCUCGUCAUCCUUCUCUCUCCGGCUGUCAUGUGUUUGUUUCACGUCAGGUUCACCACUGUUGGUGUGAGAGUUCGCCGGAGCUAGCUCACCGUCCAACCUAGUACUAGUGUCUCUCUCUCUCAGAAUUACCAACCCCUCCCCCAGUUGGACCAGGGGAGGUAUUUAUAGCCUUCACUUGCUGUCCUUGGGCCUCGUGGGCUCGUGCGUUGGGCCCGUCCGUCCGUCUGGGCCGGUUCGGUCCAUGGGCCGCGGUCCGCGGUCCAUGGUACCAACACCAAGAAAGGCAGUAGAUGCAGACCGGCGGAAAAGAUGAAGAGAACUCACCGGCGGACUAGAUGAGGAGAACUCGCCGGUUGAAGAGAUGAAGAGAAAUCAUCCAGAUUUGGUGAUUUGGAGAGAAAUUUGGGAGAACUCGUUGGUUUUGGGGUUGAAAUUUUUAGGGAUUUGGAGGUUUAUAAAAUUGGAAUUUGGGGUUUUAUAAAAAUACUUAAUUUUAUAAAGAGAAUUUUAUAUAAAUAUAUUAUUCUUUUAAAUUUUUUAUAAAUAGGUCUCCAUUAUUAGUGACGAUAAAUUUUAAAUCGUCGUUAAUUGUUAUAUCUAACGACGAUUAUCAAAAUAUCGUCGCUAAUAUCGUGCGUUUUUUUCAAAAUCCUUUUUGAACUUUAGCGACGAUCCAAAAUCGUCGCUAAAAUCGUCGCUGAAAACCUCUUUUUUUGUAGUGUCCUAGAGGAGUUUCCAUUCAAUUGAGUGGGGCCCACCCCAUUAUGAUACCCUAUUGAAGGACGCCAUAAUGGUGUGGGCCCGACCAAGUAACGGCUGGGAGUCGGCGACUCAGGUGUGGGAGUCGCUGACUCAGAGGUGGAGUCGCCGACUCCUUUGAGGCCAAGUCCUCGGUCUACCAGACCCGAGUUCUCUGGCCGGAGUCGGCGAUGCACCACUGGAGUCGGCGACUUGGUAGUCCCAGUCGGCGACUCCCAAGUGUUGCCUUGGGCUCUUGACGUAGACACGUGCUCCGCACCGUGGAAGCCUUCCGGGGGUCCGGCAUAUAACGACGGAACCCUAUUCCUUGUUUGAAAGGCGUUGCUGGGAGUGACUGACGUAAUCAGGCAUGUCUCACCAGUACUCCCCCCUGAAGAGACCAUAGGAGACAUGUGUGUACCGCCAAUAUCCCCCCCCUAGCAAGGUGAUCCGCAUCAAGGCUAAAGCGACAAGAUGGGAUCGAAUCAUUGCGGCCACAGCGACACAAUGACUCCGUUAUCCAUGCACUAUCAGAUGGAUUGAUUCACUAUCAGAAUCUAGUUUCAGGCCAAUGGAACUACGUGUUUAUAGUCCAACUCUGAUCAGGAGCGACUUUUUCUGUGUUAUCAUCAAGGCCAAAGCGACAAGAUGAAGGGAGAUUAUUAAGGCCAAAGCGACAAAAUAACUCCCAUCCAUUAAGGCCGAAGCGACAAAAUGGAGCGACUCAUAAUCAGAGUCUGAUUCUGGCCCAAGCGACAGAAUGCGUGGAUCCUGGCCAAAGCGACAGGAUCUAGUUCACUAUCAGAACCGAUCUUUAUAGUCCACCCUGAUCAAGAGCGACUUUACGUCCGCAACGACGGUUACCCCACCAAGGCCAAAGCGACAAAGUGGGUCGAGAUCAUUAAGGCCAAAGCGACAAAAUGAUCUCCAAGUCUAUCAAGGCCAAAGCGACAAGAUAGAAGAAUUAUUGAGGCCGAAGCGACAAAAUAAGUCUUGGUCCAUUAAGGCCAAAGCGACAAAAUGGACCUGGAUCUAUUAAGGCCGAAGCGAAAAAAUAGACCUGAUUCUGGCCAAAGCGACAGAAUCAUUCCUGCAAAACAACUGUAUCAGUCUAAAGGAUAUAUUUAUUGAUUUACUGACCUUGCCGUGCGGGGCUGCUCCUCCUUAUGCUCAAUAAAUCCUUGAUUGAUUUGGCCGAAGCAACAUAUCUAUCAUGCUCAUAAUGUGACAGCUUCUGGCCGAAGCGACAGAAGUGUCGGGAAGAGCUUAUGAUACUCCCCCCCAAGUUCGACGACUUCUGGCCGAAGCGACAGAAGUGUCGGGGAGAGUUUGUGAUACUCCCCCUUGAGAUCAUUAAGGCCGAAGCGUCAAAAUGACCUCUGGUCCUUUAAGGCCGAAGCGACGAAAUAGACCGACUCACUAUCAGAGUCUGAUUCUGACCAAGGCUACAGAUCCACUAUCAGAAUCCGAUUCUCGCCUCGGAUACAGAACCUGCUGAUUCACUAUUAGAAUCUGAUUCCAGUCGAGGCUACAGAUUCACUAUCAGAAUCCGAUCAUAGCCCGGACUACGGAAUCUUACCUGCAAAAAAGGAAAACACUCUGCAAAACAACUAGAUUAGUCCAAAACGCAUAUAUUUAUUAUUGAACUUACCAUGCGAUUUACCUUUCGUGAUGCCCCUCCUUUGCUCAAAUUUGUCCUUGGUAAAUCUGGCCGAAGCGACAGUUUUUACCGUGCUCAAAUUUUUUGAUGACUUCUGGCCGAAGCGACAGAAGUGUCGGGAGAGCUUGUGAUACUCCCCCCGAAAUUUGACGACUCCUAGCCGGAGCGACAGAAGUGUCGGGAGAGCUUGUGAUACUCCCCCCGAAAUUUGACGACUUCUGGCCGGAGCGACAGAAGUGUCGGGAGAGCUUGUGNNNNNNNNNNNNNNNNNNNNNNNNNNNNNNNNNNNNNNNNNNNNNNNNNNNNNNNNNNNNNNNNNNNNNNNNNNNNNNNNNNNNNNNNNNNNNNNNNNNNAUUUUGACGACUUCUGGCCGAAGCGACAGAAGCGUCGAGAGAGCUUGUGAUACUCCCCCCUUGAAUUUUGACGACUUCUGGCCGAAGCGACAGAAGUGUCGGGAAAGCUUGUGAUGCUCCCCCUUGAAAACAUGCACUUGAGGCAGUUUUGCUGCUAUUUUACCCGGGAGUCGGCGACUGAGGCCACCAGUCGGCGACACCUAUGGUCUGGGUAACUGCAGGGGGCAUUUUUGUUUUUUACCCCUGUGAGUCGGCGACUCCCUCUAUGGAUCGGCGACUCCUAGCGUAACCGUUGGAUCUUUUUGGGAGAUCCUUGGGAUAUUUGGAGAUUAUACGGGGAAUAUAUGCAAAAUUUCCAAAUAAGGAAAUGUAUCUCACAGUACUGCGAGAUUAUGUUUGGAGUCGGCGACUGCUCUGUGGAGUCGGCGACAGUGGCGUGAUACGAGGGAUUUGGAGAUCGAUUCCCGAUCUCAAAUUUUGUAAAUUUCGGAUUUUCUAGGGGUUUUUUGCAAUUUUCCCAGGGGCUAUAAAUAGUGAAGAGUUCUCCCCAAAACCUCACAACACUUUUCGCCUCCUCAAUCGCCUAAAACCCUAGAAUUUUCUGUCGCCGAUUCCCUUGUUUUAUUUCUUGAAUCGACGAUUCCCACGCAAUGUCUUCCCCCGAUUCCCAUUUCUUGGCUGAAUCUGAAACGUCAGCCUUUGUUGCUGAAAUAACAGCUGGUCUGGACGAGGUGUUGAACACCGUAGAGUCGCUGAUUCCCUCUCCUGACAGAGGGGUUGAGUCGACGACUCCGGGAGUUCCACCUUCUACUGUGGUCAUGAGUGCCUCUGUGCACAAACUCCUUGGCGCUUCGCCAGUGUCGGCGACUCCCCUUGUGGAGUCGGCGACACAGUGCAGGGCCCUUGUAGUCGUGCGAGAGCCUCUCGAGCUGGGAGGGAUUCCCGAGUCCUCUGUGUCGGCGAUUCCCAUCGUGGAGUCGGCGAUACAGACUGGGUCCAUUAAGGGAAAAUCUUUUAGGCGGAGAGGGCAAGGCUCAGGUGCCACUGGGUCGGUGACUGCUGGCCGUGACUCGUCGAUCCUUCUCAUUGGAUCGGCGACUCGAGGGCCAGAGUCGGCGACUCCCAUGGAGGUUGAUGACUCUUCUGCGCGCCACACCGCUCCGUUGGUCGUGAAUGCGGAAGGUCACAUUGUGUCGGGACUGAACCCGCACCGGGAGUCAUCCGUGGGUGAUGGCUCUCUUAGACGAAAAAGAAGACGCACCACUGGUCAGGGCAAAAUUCAUGUGCCCGGACAAGAUGAGGGGGUCCCUCCGCCUCUGAACAUAAAUUUCGAAGAGGCGUUGCAUAUAGACCGUGGUGCUUCCAACCCACACCGUAGAGCGAGUCGGUGCUCUGUUGAAAGAACUCCGCCACCUCCCGUGGACUUGGAUUCCAGUCGAGAUCCGGACCUCGACUUGGACACAUACAUUGGAGCUUUGAACCCAUCUGGGUUCGCUCACUGUGAAGUUGCCGUGAACGGCGAACCAAGGUUGCUCCCUAUAGGCCGCUCUGGGGACGGCGAAUUCGAGCAAGUGAUGACCCAUGCCGACUUGGAUGGCUCUGACGGACUGAACCCCCCUCCAACCUUAACGCGAGCGAUGCUCGAGGCUUGUUAUUGGGGGUUCAACUCUCUGGACAUCUGCGAUUCUGGAUAUCGCGCUAUCAGCCUGCGAAUCUUCCACCCCCAGGAUUCCAGGCCAUCCCACGGAUCUACUUUAAGCACUUCUCUGAGUUGCCGAUUCCGGAGAUAAUCAGCGAAGUGCUACUUACUUUUGAAGUGUCCCUGUCGCAGCUCCCGGCGGGAUUCUUCGUGAUCCUUCGUGGUUUCCUUAACAUCUGCUGGGGCCUGAAUAUCAAUGCCACCGCAAGCUUGUUCCUUCACUACUACAAGUGAAAGAGAACUCAAGAUCUGGUCGCGUUGGAUUUACGCGACGUCACUUUGACAAGAACAUCGUCGAAGAACUGCCGACAAAUUUUGGUUGUAACUGGAAGAAGGAGUUCUUCUUCAUCACCUCUGAGUUUCUUCCAGGGAGUCGGGAAGCGUGGAAUGAUCCCCAUCGAGUGCAUAUGAAUGCUUCGAUUGGGUUGACUACGAGGGACAUAGAAGCCUCUGAUCGAAUAGCGUGGAUCUUGACCGAAUACUCCGUGCCGUGCGGUGUUCCCUUUGUCCUUUGCCAGAGGGAAGACUUCACUUUUGAGGAUGUGGAAGAAGCUCAGAAGCCACUAACAGAGAAGGAGUUGGAGGGCGGAAAAAAGCGAUCGCUUUUAUACUUUGACGCCGCUCCUCUCUACAUGCGCAAGCGGUUCCGAGAGGACAAGCUCAUUCGACUAAGGAAGAAGAGCAAGCGUGCUGAACCUCGUCGGACCUUCGAGAAGGGAUCAAUCUGCACAGCCACCUCCUGCUAGUUACGUGCCCUACACUUCUGGUGUAUCGCUUCCUGAUUUCAAUGCUGAUCCUGAAACUCGGAGGGAAGCGAUGUCACUCCUAAUGGGCCAGUCUGGGACGUGGUAUCGGAGCGAGCUGCUCAAGCAUAUGACUGCUAUUACGCCGACUCCAUUCAUGAUGUCGAGAAGAUUCAAGAGAGAUACAACCAGCUCGACACAAAGUUCAAGGAGAGCGAGAAGGUCUUGGACAAGCUGAAGAAUGUGAGGUCCCGGAUGGAGAACCUGAUCGAAAAUAUUCUGCCGAAGAAGGACAAGACGAUCGAGUCCAAGCAGAAAGAAAUAGAUGAAUAUGUCGCGAAGAUAUUGGGACUUCGCAAGGAGCUGAGAUCUGCCACUGCUGACCGCACCAAAGAGAUUGAAGGUUUAAAGAGUCAGCUAGCCGGUGAGAUUGGGCACGUAGUCUCACUUGAGGCUACCAUCGCAGAUCUGAAAAAGCAAGUUGCCCAAUAUCAAGGAGAAACAACUGGGCUGAAGAGUGAGCUAGCUAGUGCAGAAGAGGAGAUUUUGGCUCUCACGAAAGACAACUCUGCACUCUCCGGGAAAGUUGCAGGAUUGGAAUUGGACGUGCGAUACCAAUCCGAUCAGCUUCAAGAGCUCAUCUUCUUUGGUCCUUCCGUGUUUCUUUCUCUACCCCCUGACUACAUCACGGACAUAAUGGCAUGGGUAGAGCAGCAUCCUGAGGAACUGGAGAAGAACAAGGAUGCUUUGGACAAAAUGAAAGGCGAAGCUGCCCAAGAAUAGAUCUUCUUAGUCCUUAGAUAUUUUGUAUUCUUGUUAUCAUUUUUUAUAAUCCUUUUUGUCGAACUUAAUGAAUGAAUAGUUUUUCUUUUCUUAUUAAUUGUUCAUUUACUUUACUCUUUUGAAUUGUAACUAAGACCCGAAACUAGAUUCGCGAGUCGUAAUUUAGCCGCUCUGGACGUAAAUUAGACUAACCCUAUCGCUAGCCACUCUGGGCGUAGACUUGGUCGUACGAAUCGUAGCUUAGUCUACGGUUAAAUUCGCGAAAAUAAAUUAAGCUUCAUAACUAAUAGAAACUCGCAAUAUCGAUUAAACUAACAAGUUCGAAAAACAACAAAAAAUAUCGAAAGAUAACAAAAGGAUGUUGAUAAACCUUAAGACUCUAGAAUUGUAUUGUAGUUUCACUCCGGCCGUAGCGACGGAGUGAUUUUUUACCUUCAUCGAGGCCAUAGCGACAAGAUGAGGUUGGAUCGUUAUAGUCAUAGCGACAAAACGAUUUCUAAUCUAUUGAGGCCAAAGCGACAAAAUAGACUAGCGAGAAUUUGGAAACCCUAACCGUGAGUGAUGCAAAAAAAUUUUAGGGUUUUAUUCGUGUGUUCUCUAUAUAUUCCUGUGACUUAUACCCUUGUAGUUCACCUCUGGCCAAAGCGACAGAGUGAUCUGAACCUUCAUCGAGGCCAUAGCGACAAGAUGAAGUUAAAUUGUUAAGGCCAUAGCGACAAAACAAUUUCUGAUCUAUUAAGGCCGGAGCGACAAAAUAGAUUUUCUAUUUAGGGUAGAGUCGUAGAUAUGGGGGAACUUAGAGAAAUGUAACUUUUUAUUAUUUAAAAAAGAGAAAAAACAUAUGUUUGAAAAUAAAAUCUAACUAUUUUAUUUUGCUAUACACUGAAAUGACCUAAGGAAUGGGAGGGUCAAUACUAAGCGUAGUAUUGUUGCAUGUUUUCUGCGUGCCAGGUGUUUGGAACCAUUGUUCCAUCCUGUCGUCGUAAGCGAUAAGUUCCUGGCCUUAUCUCUUCUUCGACGAUGUAUGGACCCUCGAAGUUGGAUGAUAACUUAUUCCUUGGUCUAUUCCUUUUAGUGAUACUAGCCUUCCGCAUGACAAGGGUUCCCAGCAGAAAUACUUUUUUGCGUACUUGGCGAUUGUGGUAUCGUGAUACGCUGGCCUUGUACGAUUCAUUCCGUAGGUCUGCCUCGUCGCGGGUUUCAUCCUUCAACUCUAGCUCUGUAGCUAGGUUUUGGUCAUUGUUUUGCUCGUCGUACUUCGAGACCCUGUAUGUUAGUAUACUCAUCUCGAUUGGCACGACGGCCUCUACUCCAUAUGUCAUAGCGAAGGGGGUGUUUCCUGUGGGAUUUUUACUAGUUGUGCGAUAUGCCCAUAGAAUUUCGCACAACUUAUCCGCCCAGGCCCUUUUUGCCGAUUCGAUUUUCUUUUUGAGCCCUUGUUGGUUACCUCCACUUGUCCGUUUGCCUGUGGUCGGUAAACGGAAGCAAAGUGGAGUUUUGUGCUUAGGUCCUCGUACAUUCUCGAAAACUUCCCCCCUGUGAAUUGGGUACCAUUGUGUGUGACAAUGUGUUGGGGAACUCCGAAUCGGCACACUAUGGAGCGAUAUACGAAUUUGACUGCCGCAUCUUGAGUGAUCUUUGCUACAGCCUGAGCCUCGACCCAUUUUGUGAAGUAAUCAACUGCCACAAAAAUGAAUCGAGCUUGGGAUGUCGAUUGUGGGAAUGGUCCUACGAUGUCCAGUCCCCACCUUGCAAAUGGGAUCGAGCUCAAGUUCGGAGUCAUGUCCGCGGAUGGUUUUUGUUGCAUUGGGCUAUGCAACUGGCAUGCUCGGCACUUGCGGACAUAAGUGCGAGCCUCUAACCGUAAUGUGAGCUAAUAGUACCCCAACCGUAUGAUUUUAAAGUCUAGUGCUCUUCCUCCCUCAUGGAGUCCGCACGAGCCUUCGUGUACUUCCUUGAUGACCUUAUCAGUAUCGGGUUUGGUCAAACAACGCAACAACGGGUUGUCGAAGGACUUUUUGUAAAGUACCCCUCCGACUUCGCAGUACUUGGCCGCUUUAUGUUGCAACUUUUUGGCCUCACCCCUAUUGUCGGGAAGUACACCACUUUGAAUGAAUGCCAGUAUUGGUUGUCUCCAAUCCUCUGAGGGGUCGGAUGUGACAUUCAAUAUCUGGCACGAUGGCUGGAGUACAGAGUCUACCAGGAUUUCACGAUGGCCUCCCUCUCAGGCCGAUGCUAGCCUUGCUAGAGCAUCGGCGGGUGUGUUGUGAGUUCGAGGAAUUUGCUCGAUUUUAAACUCAGCGAAUUGUUUGGUGAGUUCUACCAUGGCUUCCACAUAUUUUGUGAUCUGUGGUUCUUUGCAGGCGAACUCACCCGUGGUUUGUCGAGCCACGAGCUGGGAGUCAGUGCGAAGCGUGACUUUCUCAACGCCGAGAGUUCGCAACAGCUUUAGGCCAUGAAUGGAUGCUUCGUAUUCCGCGACAUUGUUUGAUGCCGGGAAGUGGAGCCGUAUCGAGUGUUCAUAGUUUUUUCCAUCUGGACUAUGGAUUUUUACUCCGAUACCUGAGCCUGUGCUGCAACUCGACCCGUCUACUUCCACAGUCCAUGGUUGGGUUAGGUUGGAUGGUGUGAGUUCGACCAUGAAAUCUGCCAUAGCUUGCCCCUUGAUGGCAGUGGCUGGUCGGAAAUCCAAAUUGAACUCACUAAGCUCAAUUGCCCAUUUAGUUAACCUUCCCGAUAUGUCUGGCUUGUGGAGUAGACAGCGUAGGGGACACGAUGUAAGUACUACAAUCGUGUGCGCUAAGAAAUAUGCUCGGAAGCGACGACAAGCGUGGAUUACAGCGUACACGAUUUUCUCAGUCGGAGAAUACCGUACCUCUGCUCCUUGUAGUCGCCUCGAGUGAUAAUAGAUGGGGGCUUGUUCCUUAUCUCUUUGCGCGAUAAGGACUGCACUUACGGCCUCUUCUGAGGCUGCUAUGUAUAAGUACAGAUCUUCCCCAUCCCUGGGUGAGGUCAGCAUUGGAAGUGAGGACAUGUGUGUUUUUAACUUGGUAAAUGCCUCCUCACAUUCCGGUGUCCAAGUGAUACUACCCUUAGCCGCAGUUUUUAGUAGUUGGAAGAACGGUUUGCAUUUGUCAGCCGUUUGCGAUAUGAAACGACUGAGUGCAUUGAUUCGUCCGUUCAACCUUUGUACUUCUCUAAUUGUGCGGGGGGCUUCCAUAUCAAGUAUUGCUUGGAUUUUGUCGGGAUUUGGUUUAAUCCCGUGCUGACCUACGUAAAAACCAAGGAACUUACCUUCCUUGAUUCCGAAGGAACACUUGUUUGGAUUAAGCUUCAUUCCGUAUUGCUUUAAUGUCCUAAGGGUUUCUCUCAGAUCCUCGGGGUGCUUUUCGACGCUUGUUGAUUUGACCAGAAUGUCAUCAACAUAAGCGGAAACAUUGCGCCCGAUCUAAUCCGCGAAAACCUUGUCCAUUAAGCGUUGGAAUGUAGCUCCAGCAUUCCUUAAGUCGAAUGGCAUUACUCUAUAACAGAAUGUCCCUGAGUCCGUAAUGAAGGAUGUUUUCUCUUCAUCAGGCUCAUGCAUCAGGAUUUGGUUAUAUCCUGAGUGGGCAUCCAUCAUGGAGAGGAGUUCGUUACCAGACGCUCCGUCGACUAACUCGUCGAUGGAUGGGAGCGGGUAACUGUCCUUGGGACAUGCUUUAUUGAGAUCUGUGAAAUCAAUGCACAUGCGCCACUUGCCAUUGGGCUUCUUGACGAGAACGGGGUUGACCAACCAAGUUGGAUAUCGAACUUCUCGAAUGUGCCCUGCACUUAGAAGUUUCGAUAUCUCUUCGUUGGCGGCCUCCCGCCUGUCAGAGAUGAGCACUCGACGCUUUUGGCGACGAGCUGGGAUGGAUGGGUCGACAUUAAGUUUGUGCGUCACGAUUUGACGCGCAAUCUGUGUCGGAGCCUCACCCUCCCAACCGAACCUGUCCUGGUGCUCCUCCAGGACAGUCAUAAGCUUGGCUCUUAGGUCGGGGUCCAACCUUUUCCCUAAUGCCACGUGCCCCCCUUUCAUCCACGGGUUGCAAUUUUUCCCUUUCCCCGUUGUCGGGUGGGGCGUGGACGAGCAUACUGUUUAGUUUAACCAGCUGAGUUGCCUUCUUAUACCCCUGUCUAGAAUCCUUUUGUGAUCCUUUGACAGUUGCAAUGAUCUCGUUGAUUGGGUAUCGUAUGCAUUGGUGAUAAAAGGAUGGGACAGCUUUGAUCCCGUGGAUGAAGGGUCGUCCAAAGAUGCCGUGAAAAGUGGAUUCUACCUCCACCACUAUAAAACGGCAUGUUCGACUAACCCUUCCCUUUCGGGAUCCGAUGGAGACCUUCAGGUCAAUAACGCCGGCCACUGGGGCGGCGACGUUGUAAACCCAUAAAUGGCUUCCUUGCAAGGAGACAGAUCCUCCUUCUUAAGGCCCAUUUUGAUGAAGGUGUCCAUGUAGAGGAUGUCCGCGGAACUGCCGCUGUCGACAAUCAUCCUCUCGACCCGGGAUGUCGGACCGAUGUCUGCUUGGAUCACGAGUGGAUCCACGUGGGGCAGCAGGACAUCGUUUAGGUCCUCUUCGGAGAAGUAUGUUGACUUUCCUUCCCGAGCCCUUUUCCCAUUGUCGCGAGGUGUAGACUGUGACAUCAGCACCUUCCGGGAGUAACCCCUAUUCUGAUCAACGGAUCCGCCACCAAAUAUCAUAUUGAUGGUUUUCCGCUGGCGGUUCUCGCUACUGUUGCUGUCCGGCGAAGGAGAGCGUGGACGCUUCCCCUUUGGGUCAGAUUUACAACCGUCUCGUCCUCGGGAUCCCUUGACGAAGUUGCCAAGUUCACCCUUUGAGACCAGUUGCUCGACGUAGAUCGAGAACUCCCUGCAGUGGUCGAUGAGGUGGCCGUGCUGGUCCUUGUGAAACUUACAGAACCUUCUACCCUUCUUGCGACUACUUUUAGUUGCAAGGUCCAGAGAACGGGCAGGAGGUAGAUCUGGCCGGUUCUUGAGUUUGUCAAACAGUUCGCCUUUAUUGAUUGUCAGAGGGGUCCACUCCUUCCAUGGUUGGGAUGGACCCUUUGGCGACUGUUUGGUGGUUAUUUGAUGCAGUUUAUUAUCGUGUUUGGGCUUCCAUUCCUUUUUGUAGGAAUUAGCCGCAUUGUCAGUGUAUUUGUUCGAAGAGCCUCGGAAACUAUUUUUUCCGCCGUAGCUCUUUUUCUCGAACUUUGGUUUUUUGAAGCUAGUGUUCUCAAGUUCCACUAGCUUAUUCUCGUUCUGCUCUUCUACCUCAAUAAACGAUUGGGCUGUUUGGAAGAGGUCAGGUAGAGUCUCCACCUUAUGGAGAGUGAGAUGCUGGGCCAGAGGGGAGUAGGGUACUAGCCCAUUCGUGUAUCCCGCUAUGGCCAGACUCGGGAUUAAGUCACUCACUUCUGUCAUCAUUGAAGUGAACUUAAUAGUGUAAUCCCUCAACGACAGCUUGUUCUGUCGUAGUGCCAGCAGUGCGUUGGCACUGUGUUUGAUCCUAAUCAUCCCCACGUGUUGGGCGAUGAACUUGGAUGAGAGGUCCGUAAAGCUGGAGAUUGAUCCAGCUGGCAGACCAGAAAACCACCGAUAGGCGCUGCCCUUGAGAGUGCCAGGGAAUGCCUGGCAUAACAGCGCGUUAUCAGUGGUUUGCGGUUCCAAGACACUAAGGUAGAGGUUGAUGUGAUCUCUUGGAUCACCCGAACCAUCGUACGCUUCUAUCCUGGGUACCCGCCAGGUUUGUGGAAAAGACACCUUCAAAAGGUCCUCUCGAAAAGGAGCACUUUUGAUUCUCAGAAAUUCCAUCGGACCGCUGGCGGCUGGGUUGCCAGCCAACUUCCGACGAAGGUCUUCCACAAAUCGUGUUGUAAGAGUCUUUUCAGUGUGACUCUUACUAGGUCCAGCCUUUGCUUUUGAAAGCUCUGGACCAUCCUUCUUUUUCUCCCCAGAUGGAGAAUUAUGAGAGGCUGAUUCACCCGCUCCUUCGCGGGCGACGGUCCUCUGACUCCUCGCUUUCUCGAGAUUGUUGACUCUUUGUUCCAUGUUAUCCAUGAAUCUAAUCAACCUCGCUUCUAAAGCGGGAGGGAUGGAUGUUUGAGGGAGCAGACUGGCUUGAGGCUCCUCAGGCCUUUCUUGCCUGUUUUCUUGAGGAGGGUCAGUCUGUGCCCUGUCAGCUACCAUUGAGGAUUUGCCUUUGUUCCUCAUAUGGUAGUCGUGCUUUUGCCUUUCGGAAGUCAUUGUUGACAAAAGCGUGUUCCAACUAGAGCGCAAGUGCUUGCUAGAAUUAACUAACCCGAGAGAAAGAACCAAUUGGAGUCGGCGACUCACAAGAGGUGUCGGCGAUUCACAAGGUGGAAUCGACGACACACACUAGUGGAAUCGGUGACUGCUUUAGGUAGCUUUUCUUUCGAGUCUGGCCGUGGACAGCACUCUUAGCUAGCAGAAUAACCCGCAAUCGGAGACUCACUAGGUGGAGUCGGCGAUUGCCUGUGUGAAUCGGAGAUUCCUUUACACAAAGUUAGCGACUCACCCUAAGGGAAUCGAGCUAAGCUUUGCGAAGAAAAUUUCGUGAUUACGACGGGAUAUCGUGGUUCGAUUAUCCCACAGACGGCGCCAGCUGAUGAAGCAUGGAAUCUGCUACCAGUAGGCUCGCGGAGUUGCGAGAUGGGCCGGAGGCUAUGGAGUCCACGACGCGCGCUCUACGUCAAACACCUGCAGAAGAGGAGGGGAAUCGACGACUCUCUUGGGAGUAGGCGAUUCGGGCUCCUGGAUGCUCUAGUGUGGAGUGUGUUGGUCAAGUGAGGACGUUAUGAAUGGAGAACACUCCUAGGACCCCUUUUAUAGGGUCCUAGAGGCGUUUCCAUUCAAUUGAGUGGGGCCCGCCCCAUUAUGGUACCCUAUUGAAGGGCUCCAUAAUGGUGUGGGCCCGCCCGCGUAACGGUUGGGAGUCGGCGACUCAGGUGUGGGAAUCGCCGACCCAGAGGUGGAGUCGCCGACUCCUUUGAGGCCAAGUCCUCGGUCUACCAGACCCGAGUUCCCUGGCCGGAGUCGGCGAUGCACCCCUGGAGUCGGCGACUUGGUAGUCCCAGUCGGCGACUCCCAAGUGUUGCCUUGGGCUCUUGACGUAGACACGUGCUCCGCACCGUGGAAGCCUUCCGGGGGUCCGGCAUAUAGCGACGGAACCCUAUUCCUUGUUUGAAGGACGUUGCUGGGAGUGACUGACGUAAUCAGGCAUGUCUCACCACGAUGUAUGAUCCCGUACUCUUCAAGCAUUGGAGUCAUUUUCUUAAACCCUAAUGCAUUAUCGGUUUAAAAUUCUUUAAUUGAACACUCGUUUGAUUUUCAGCAAUCUUUUUAAAUUUGAGGAUUAUUUGUCAACUUGUGAUUUUCUUUGAAGUGGAAAUAACCAGUUGUAAUUAGUACUUGCGUCUAAGAAAUUCACGUAAUACCAAUAUCCUUCAGAUGAAACACACGGGGCCGGACCCCAUAUAUCAGCUAGAAUUAAUAACAAAGGCUUAUCAUAGACCGUUGAUUUAAUAUGAUGAGGCAAGGCAAAUGACUUUCCUACCCUACAUGAAUUACAACAGUUCGAAUCCUUACACGAUAUUUGAAUUACUUUUUCUUUUACUAAUUGAUCAACCGCCUUUUGAUGCAAAUGACCCAACCGGUAACAGUGCCAAAUUUUAUUUGUAGUUCUUUCACCCAACAGUGAGGUAGAACCUUGACUUAUGUUAACCGGUAACCGAUACAAGCCAUUUUCUUGAUCCCCUUCCAAGAGUACCUCCUUAGUGACCACAUCUUUUACCUUUACACUCUGAGAUCAAAUUCCACAAAUGCAUUAUUACCUUAUCUGCUUCACUAAUCUUUUCUCCAAUUAGCUGCAUUUCGUCGAUCAAGGCCUUGGCAUGAGAAAUGUAUGCCCACAUCGACAUCGCUUCCUUCUUCAUCGUUAGAAAUUGACAUCGGAGGAACAAAAUCCAGGUAACUGAACCCGACGAAUACAGCUUGGACAGAGCUUUCCAGACCUCAGCGGACGAUGUCAAACUCGCCACUUGAGACAAAAUGUUAGGCGACAAUGAUUGGAAGAGUCAUCCCAAGAGUAGUUGGUCCUAUGCCGAUGAGAACACAGGUGGCCUGAGCCUUCCACGAGACAUAGUUGUCUUUGGUGAGAGUGACGAAGAAGAGCUUCUUCAUGUGAAGAACUUCCCCUGAACGAGUGACGGAUCCAUCAGCGUUUGUGGAAGCACCGGUACCUGACGAUGAUACCAUGAUAGUGAAUGGAGGAUGGUUGAUUGUGGAAGAAGAUGGUGGAGGAAGAAUGAAUGUUUGUUGAAGUGGAACCGUGGUUCAAUCCACUGGAUUCCUGUUAAUUUAUAUUCAUCAAAAUAGAUCUCAACAACUCACAAUUGUGGGCACUACACAACAACUAACUAAUUCUGUUUUAACUAAUUACAUAUUUAUAUUCCACACUAAUAGAUACUCAUCCAAGGUUGAAAAAAUUACCGACGAAGAACAAUGAUGAGACUACUGCAGAAACGGACGAUCGACAAUUAUGAAUGGUGACUGGAAAUGCAUUUCGCAAAAUAGAUGUCGUAGGAUUAGUUUAAAAUGAAGGCGUUCUACAGAAGUAAUCUUUUGCAGGAAAGAAUUGAAGUUCAAGAAGAUGAUUGAGAAGGCGAGAAAUUGAAAAACUAUAGAAGGUUGAGGGAUUGAAAUGGGUUUCAGAGGAAGAAAGAUGUAUGAUGAUUGACAUAAUCAAUAGGUAUUGGGUUUUGUUAAAUAACAAAGUAAUGACGACAAUUCAGGUAUAGGUAUAGUAGGUACAAAUAGGUCGUUCAAAAAUACAAAAUGGAAAUAAUACAAAUUGAAAUAAUAAUUUUUAAAAGCUAAGGAUUUGAUUGUGCCUUUUACCGAUUUUGCCAAUCACUAAUACACGAAAUUAGCAUCGUGUUUCCCUUUUUGAAUCCUGGCGGGCCAUGCCUGUUGUCCCUCCGAAAUGGAAUCUUCUAGAACAACUUCCUCAAUAGCCAAGUCUUCUUUCAAACGACAUAUUACUUCUUCCAAAUCCAGUCCAAUUGUAACAUUGAUCAUCCAAAGUGAUGGAUAAUUGAUCCGACGUAGCGAUGGAUGUGAUACAGCCGAAACAAUGUAUGUGUGAUCUGGUCUAAAAGAUGGAUGUGAUGCAGCCGAAACAUUUUCUCCCUUCCAGAAUAAUGGGUUUUUGAAAGUUUAAAGAAGUGACUCCCUUACGAUGAAGUCAUGAGAAACUGUGUACUCGAAGCCACAACGACGCGAAAUGACCUAAGAGUAGUGUGAUAUAACUAGUAGGUGAGUAAUAUUUUAGUACCUGAACUCUUAGGUUGAGUGGUAACGUGCCUAACCUUAAUAGUGAUAGGGUUGUCAAACUUAAUUAGGAUGAUAAUUAUAUUCUAAAUAUGGUAUGGUGUAUACCUAGGUACCUCCAUGAUUGAAUCAAAACAAGAAAUGAAAAAGGAGACCGGAUCGCCAAAACAACAUUUAUUUCCAGUUGAAAUUAUUUUCACACACACAUAACAGCAUGACACACAAAUCAACUAUUGGAGGGAGGUACCGGAUCGCCAUUGUGGUCUCUCGAAGGGUCAUAGUCGACUGUACGAUGCACCUUAUCACCACCACCAUCAUUUCCAACAAAAACAUCUCCAUAUCGAAGAAAACCAUGGUGUAAUAAAUCUAACGAAGAAGGCACUGGAUCAUACUGAAGGUUACUGAUGCGGCCGACAUUGACUAACGGACAUAAGAGAUAGUGAUAACAUCAACACAAUCACUGUGGAAGGAUAGGGAUUCAUGUUGUUUUGGCUGGAUUUCAU
RNAcentral lists this long non-coding RNA (27810 nucleotides) under Zostera marina. Its description in RNAcentral is "long non-coding RNA (ZMAR_LNC006054)". The record is from RNAcentral. Lineage: Eukaryota; Viridiplantae; Streptophyta; Magnoliopsida; Alismatales; Zosteraceae.